GGCAGACAUGCACUCUUACAUUUUCUUUUCAGGCUAACCUGACCCUGGCUUUUAUAUUGAAAUGGAUAAAAGAUGGAAAAUGGGAAAGCCCUAGAUAUGGUUGCAACUCAGGAAACUUAUGAGAAGCUCUUCAAGAAACCCUUGAUUAGAAUUCCUCACAGUAGUCCAGCUUGGAGGACACAAAGGGCAAAUUCAG
RNAcentral lists this long non-coding RNA (196 nucleotides) under Vulpes vulpes (red fox). RNAcentral describes it as "lncRNA (ENSVVUG00000006985.1)". The record is from RNAcentral. Lineage: Eukaryota; Metazoa; Chordata; Mammalia; Carnivora; Canidae.